This 934-nucleotide long non-coding RNA is filed under the name Elaeis guineensis (African oil palm). Its description in RNAcentral is "long non-coding RNA (EGUI_LNC008522)". Lineage: Eukaryota; Viridiplantae; Streptophyta; Magnoliopsida; Arecales; Arecaceae. The record is from RNAcentral.
CAUGAGUAGCUUAAGUAGCUAUUGAAUUAUCAUUUUUGAAUAUAAUAUUUCAAUAUUUUUUAUUGAACUAAAUAUAUGUUUUAAUGAUAAUUUGAUUAAAUAAAAUUAUAAUAUAAAUUUAAAUAACUUUGAAAAUUCUUAACUCUUACUUUUUUUUGUGGUUGCGUAUGCAAGUUGAAUAAAAAUUUCAAGAGACCCCCACUUAGGAUUGCUUAAGUGCUUUAACAAAUUUAAACUUUGGUCAAAGCCAUGGCCGCUUUAUAUAUUAGUCAAUAACGUUCAUAACUUUAAUAGUAUUACUUGGAUACAUAAAUUUUUUCCUUGAACCAUAUUUUUUUUGAAAUGAAAGGCUUGCAUUUCUUCUUAUAGUUGGUUAACCUAUUGUACCAUAUAUGUAAGUUAAAAAUAGCAAAGCGUGUGUAUGCAUAAUGUAAAAAUAGCAAAUUAGAUGUAUUUUCCCUAAUUGUAUGGGUUUUUAUGAUAAAUCAAAAUUCUAAUUUAAAUAAAUUAUCCAAUCAAAUAAGAAAGCUCUAGUUUAAAUAAACUUAUCCAAAAAAGAAAAGAAAAACUUGAUGAAUAAUCUCCAACUAUGUAAAAUCUUCAACUUUCUCUCCCACAUACACUCUCUCAUGCAUCUAUAUAUAUUUAUUCUCUCACUUGUAUGUCUCAUGCACCCCCUCUCUUCCUCUAUCACCGUAGAAGAGAUAGGGAUUUGAGUGACCUUGUUUCUUUCUACCUUCCUCACAUAAAAGAAUCUUACAUGAUCAAAAUGAGAUUCCAAAUUAUUUCUCCAACCAACAUUAAAUUAGUUUUUUUAGUUGUUAAGAACCCGAACUAGUUUGAUAUAUGAAAUAGCUAUUUUUUCAUUUGCACAUUCAAGAAAUGAGAUUUAAAUUAAAGAAUAGUUACUAUUCGAAAAAAGUAUGGAAGCAAG